This is a long non-coding RNA of Salvelinus namaycush (lake trout), 1418 nucleotides long. RefSeq lists it as uncharacterized. The transcript is spliced from 2 exons. The record is from RefSeq and is a predicted model, not a curated record. Lineage: Eukaryota; Metazoa; Chordata; Actinopteri; Salmoniformes; Salmonidae.
GCUACCUGUCCCAGACCUGCUGUUUUCAACUCUCUAGAGACCACAGGAGCGAUACUGAGAUGAACCCACCAAGCGGAGGACCAAAGGAAAGCGAUGAGCUUGACUACCAUUAAUGAGAGGCCAGUGAGAAGCAGAGGACCAGAGGAAAGCGAUGAGCUUGACUACCAUUAAUGAGAGGCCAGUGAGAAGCAGAGGACCAGAGGAGAGCGAUGAGCUUGAAUACCAUUAAUGAGAGGCCAGUGAGAAGCAGAGGACCAGAGGAGAGCGAUGAGCUUGACUACCAUUAAUGAGAGGCCAGUGAGAAGCAGAGGACCAGAGGAGAGCGAUGAGCUUGACUACCAUUAAUGAGAGGCCAGUGAGAAGCAGAGGACCAGAGGAGAGCGAUGAGCUUGACUACCAUUAAUGAGAGGCCAGUGAGAAGCAGAGGACCAGAGGAGAGCGUGAGCUUGACUACCAUUAAUGAGAGGCCAGUGAGAAGCAGAGGACCAGAGGAGAGCGAUGAGCUUGACUACCAUUAAUGAGAGGCCAGUGAGAAGCAGAGGACCAGAGGAGAGCGAUGAGCUUGACUACCAUUAAUGAGAGGCCAGUGAGAAGCAGAGGACCAGAGGAGAGCGAUGAGCUUGACUACCAUUAAUGAGAGGCCAGUGAGAAGCAGAGGACCAGAGGAAAGCGAUGAGCUUGACUACCAUUAAUGAGAGGCCAGUGAGAAGCAGAGGACCAGAGGAGAGCGAUGAGCUUGACUACCAUUAAUGAGAGGCCAGUGAGAAGCAGAGGACCAGAGGAGAGCGAUGAGCUUGACUACCAUUAAUGAGAGGCCAGUGAGAAGCAGAGGACCAGAGGAGAGCGAUGAGCUUGACUACCAUUAAUGAGAGGCCAGUGAGAAGCAGAGGACCAGAGGAGAGCGAUGAGCUUGACUACCAUUAAUGAGAGGCCAGUGAGAAGCAGAGGACCAGAGGAGAGCGAUGAGCUUGACUACCAUUAAUGAGAGGCCAGUGAGAAGCAGAGGACCAGAGGAAAGCGAUGAGCUUGACUACCAUUAAUGAGAGGCCAGUGAGAAGCAGAGGACCAGAGGAGAGCGAUGAGCUUGACAACCUUUCAGGAGAGGCCAUAUAGUCAAGCCAACACAUCCAAACCAACCUAAACCCACAGCUAACAUCCUAGCCUUCGGGGGUUUGACAGAAAUCAUAAUUAAAAAUAAAAUUUGCUUACCGGCCCAGUACACACUGCAAUACAUACGGACACAGAGUUGUCUGUGUGUCAUACACUGGCCAACAGUACAUUUAGGCUUUUAUCCAAGUCAGUUAUGGAAGAGCAAAGCAAAUGUUUAGUAGCAAACGGUAUAGGAGUAUUUUCCAUUUAAUUAGAAAUACUGAAGCUUUGAUUACUUGAAUCAGCUGUGUAGUUCUAGGGCAAAAAAA